CCUGGUUGAUCCUGCCAGUAAUUGUAUGCUUGUUUUGAAGGUUAAGCCAUGCAAGGGUAAAUCGACCAGCCAACUCCCAAGGGAGAGACACAGGAAGCCACAGACAAGUUCAGUACAAUGGACACAAUUGUGUUGAGUGUGGAGGUCAAGAUUGAUAGCUAUGGAAAUGCUAGAGAUAAUACAUUUGUGCAGAAUAGGCUGAACCCUGGCUGGGUCUUGGCUUGUCCUGGGGGAGUAACUAAGUAUCGUCAGUUUCCACAGCAAGGGACUGAUUACUGAUGCCCCAUAGGGCAAGUGACAAACCCAGCGACCACCCAACCUAGUAUAAGAUCAGUGGUUAGUAGCCCCAUGUGGUGGUGAUGGGUGAUGGGGGAUCAGGGAUCAGUUCUGGAGAGGGAACCUGAGAGACAGCUACCACCCCUAUGAGAGGCAUCAGGUGCACCACUUAUCCAAUCCUGGCAUGGGAAGGUAGUGAGGAGAAAUACCAGUGGGGGCGUUGGUAUGAGGCCCUGCUCCUGGAAUGACCACUCCCCAAGCCCAGUAACAAGGAGCCAUCAGAGGGCAAAUCUGGUACCAGCAGCCAUGGUAAUUCCAGCUCCAAUAGUAUACAUUGAAGCUGCUGCAGUUAAAGCACUCAGAGUAGUACAUGAACAGGGAUGUGGUCAGCGUCCCUCGGGGGUCCAUGCUGACCUGGUUCUGUGCAGGUUUGCCGGAUUGACUUGGGCGCUGGUUAGGGAUGUGGCAGGAGGUUACCUUGAAAAAAAUGAGAGUGCUUCUAGUGGGCCAGAGGCUGCUGGGAUAGAGGAAUCAUGGAAUAAUGUCAGGGGAAUGGAAUGGCCAUGAGAGUUGCCUGCCUGAGGGUGAUGGAGCCAUCAGUCCAAAGCCAUGUCGUAGACAACUGAAAGGGGUGGCUGGGGCAUUGGUGCUGCAGGGUGAGAGGACCAACCACAGUGAAAGUAUUUGCCACGUAUGUCUUUCUUAAUCCAAAAUGAAAGUCAGAGGAUCAAAGGCGAUUAGAUACCACUCUAGUUCCGACCAUAAACAUUGCAAACUGGUAAUCCAUGGCAUUUGUAGUCUGAACGCCAUGGGCUCUCCCGGGAAACCAAAGUCUUUGGACUAUGGUGUGUGUGUGUGUGUCGGGGGUACAGAUGCAAAAUUGAAACUUAAAUGAAUUGACAGAAAGACACCACCAGGAGUGGGACCUGCAGCUCAAUUUAACGCAAUAUGGGAUCCUCACAAGUUCCAGCUGUUGGAAGGAUUGACAGACUAAGAGACCUUCCUCAAAUCAGUGGGUGUUGGUGGUGCUUCACCAUUCUUAGUACGUGCAGUGGUUUAUCUGGUCAGUUUGGGUAAUGAGUGAGGUUGCACCCCUGGGUUGUGGAGUGAGCCAGAUCAUGUCUAUAUGCCAACACUUGACUGGCCAUGUGUAGGGCCAGCCAUGCCCAAUGUAGGAAUGCAUCUCUGUAGCACACUUGUUGGGGUGGUAAGGAUCCCUGUCUGGGCCAGGAGGAUGCUGUUGCAGCAGGCCUGUUGUCCAUGAAAUGGUCCCAGGGGACUGGUGGUGGUGGAAGCUACAAGAGGUGUGGCACAAUAGCAGGUCCAUGAUGCCCUUGGAAGUCCUGGGCUGCAUGUGUUCAACAAUGAUAAUGUCAGUGGGCCUCCCCUCUUAGAGGAGUGGGCAAUCUCUGAAAUGCAGUCGUGGUGGGGACUGGGUCUUGCAGUGUUUCCUGUGAACUGGGAUUCCUUUGUAGGGGCUGGUAACCAGCUGUCCCUGAAUGAGUCUCUGCCCUUUGUACACACCACCCAUCACUACUGGGUAGGUGAAGGCCUCAAACCAGGGACAAGAUGUCCCUCUCCUAGAGGGAGAGGCAAGACAGACCUCGGAAAGACUUCCGAACCUGUUCAGCCAGAGGAAGUAAAAGUCGUAACAAGGUUACCGUAGGUGAACCUGCGGAAGGAUCAUUA
Molecule: ribosomal RNA, 1965 nt
Filed under: Xibalbanus tulumensis
Lineage: Eukaryota; Metazoa; Arthropoda; Remipedia; Nectiopoda; Speleonectidae
Description: 18S ribosomal RNA
Rfam family: Eukaryotic small subunit ribosomal RNA
Source: RNAcentral